GGACGAACGCUGGCGGUGUGCUUAACACAUGCAAGUCGAACGGUAAGGCCCUUUCGGGGGUACACGAGUGGCGAACGGGUGAGUAACACGUGAGUAACCUGCCCUCAUCUCUGGGAUAACAGUCGGAAACGGUUGCUAAUACUGGAUAUGAGCUUGCAAGGCAUCUUGUGGGUUGGAAAGAUUUUUUUUGGUUGGGGAUGGACUCGCGGCCUAUCAGCUUGUUGGUGAGGUAGUGGCUCACCAAGGCUUCGACGGGUAGCCGGCCUGAGAGGGCGACCGGCCACAUUGGGACUGAGAUACGGCCCAAACUCCUACGGGAGGCAGCAGUGGGGAAUAUUGCACAAUGGACGGAAGUCUGAUGCAGCAACGCCGCGUGCGGGAUGACGGCCUUCGGGUUGUAAACCGCUUUCAAUUGUGACGAAGCUUUUUUGUGACGGUAGCAGUAGAAGAAGCACCGGCUAACUACGUG
RNAcentral lists this ribosomal RNA (469 nucleotides) under uncultured bacterium. RNAcentral describes it as "partial 16S ribosomal RNA". It matches the Rfam family "Bacterial small subunit ribosomal RNA", at positions 27 to 507 of the family's 1533-position model. The record is from RNAcentral.